GAUGAACGCUGGCGGCGUGCCUAAUACAUGCAAGUCGAGCGAACGGACGAGAAGCUUGCUUCUCUGAUGUUAGCGGCGGACGGGUGAGUAACACGUGGAUAACCUACCUAUAAGACUGGGAUAACUUCGGGAAACCGGAGCUAAUACCGGAUAAUAUUUUGAACCGCAUUGUUCAAAAGUGAAAGACGGUCUUGCUGUCACUUAUAGAUGGAUCCGCGCUGCAUUAGCUAGUUGGUAAGGUAACGGCUUACCAAGGCAACGAUGCAUAGCCGACCUGAGAGGGUGAUCGGCCACACUGGAACUGAGACACGGUCCAGACUCCUACGGGAGGCAGCAGUAGGGAAUCUUCCGCAAUGGGCGAAAGCCUGACGGAGCAACGCCGCGUGAGUGAUGAAGGUCUUCGGAUCGUAAAACUCUGUUAUUAGGGAAGAACAUAUGUGUAGGUAACUGUGCACAUCUUGACGGUACCUAAUCAGAAAGCCACGGCUAACUACGUG
This 497-nucleotide ribosomal RNA is filed under the name uncultured bacterium. RNAcentral describes it as "partial 16S ribosomal RNA". It matches the Rfam family "Bacterial small subunit ribosomal RNA", at positions 28 to 507 of the family's 1533-position model. The record is from RNAcentral.